GAUGAACGCUGGCGGCGUGCUUAACACAUGCAAGUCGAACGGGAAACCUUUUAUUGAAGCUUCGGCAGAUUUAGCUGGUUUCUAGUGGCGGACGGGUGAGUAACGCGUGGGUAACCUGCCUUAUACAGGGGGAUAACAACCAGAAAUGGUUGCUAAUACCGCAUAAGCGCACAGGACCGCAUGGUCCGGUGUGAAAAACUCCGGUGGUAUAAGAUGGACCCGCGUUGGAUUAGCUAGUUGGCAGGGUAACGGCCUACCAAGGCGACGAUCCAUAGCCGGCCUGAGAGGGUGAACGGCCACAUUGGGACUGAGACACGGCCCAGACUCCUACGGGAGGCAGCAGUGGGGAAUAUUGCACAAUGGGGGAAACCCUGAUGCAGCGACGCCGCGUGAAGGAAGAAGUAUCUCGGUAUGUAAACUUCUAUCAGC
RNAcentral lists this ribosomal RNA (429 nucleotides) under uncultured bacterium. RNAcentral's name for it is "bacterial SSU rRNA". It matches the Rfam family "Bacterial small subunit ribosomal RNA", at positions 28 to 440 of the family's 1533-position model. The record is from RNAcentral.